This 508-nucleotide ribosomal RNA is filed under the name uncultured bacterium. Its description in RNAcentral is "partial 16S ribosomal RNA". It matches the Rfam family "Bacterial small subunit ribosomal RNA", at positions 28 to 523 of the family's 1533-position model. The record is from RNAcentral.
GAUGAACGCUAGCUACAGGCUUAACACAUGCAAGUCGAGGGGAAACGAUAUUGGAAGCUUGCUUCCGAUAGGCGUCGACCGGCGCACGGGUGAGUAACGCGUAUCCAACCUGCCCACCACUUGGGGAUAACCUUGCGAAAGUAAGACUAAUACCCAAUGACGUCCAUAGAAGACAUCUGAAAUGGAUUAAAGAUUUAUCGGUGAUGGAUGGGGAUGCGUCUGAUUAGCUUGUUGGCGGGGUAACGGCCCACCAAGGCGACGAUCAGUAGGGGUUCUGAGAGGAAGGUCCCACACAUUGGAACUGAAACACGGUCCAAACUCCUACGGGAGGCAGCAGUGAGGAAUAUUGGUCAAUGGGCGAGAGCCUGAACCAGCCAAGCAGCGUGCAGGAUGACGGCCCUAUGGGUUGUAAACUGCUUUUAUAAGGGAAUAAAGUGAGUCUCGUGAGACUUUUUGCAUGUACCUUAUGAAUAAGGACCGGCUAAUUCCGUGCCAGCAGCCGCCGUAA